Molecule: ribosomal RNA, 494 nt
Filed under: uncultured bacterium
Lineage: Bacteria
Description: partial 16S ribosomal RNA
Rfam family: Bacterial small subunit ribosomal RNA
Source: RNAcentral
GACGAACGCUGGCGGCGUGCUUAACACAUGCAAGUCGAACGGUGAAGCGCCUUCCUUUUUGGUGGGUGUGGAUGAGUGGCGAACGGGUGAGUAACACGUGAGCAACCUGCCCCCUUUUUCUGGAUAACCGCAUGACAGAGUGGCUAAUACGGGAUAUUCUGGGUCUGUCGCAUGAUGGGUCUGGGAAAGAUAUUGUUUCGGUGGGGGAUGGGCUCGCGGCCUAUCAGCUUGUUGGUGUGGUGAUGGCCUACCAAGGCGGUGACGAGUAGCCGGCCUGAGAGGGUGGGCGGUCACACAAGGACUAAGACACGGCCCAGACUCCUACAGGAGGCAGCAGGGAAGAAUAUUGCACAGUGGGCGCAAGCCUGAUGCAGCGACGCCGCGGUAGAGAUGGAGGCCUUCGGGUUGUGAACCUCUUUCGUCAGGGAAGCAGGCUUGCCUCGUUUGUGGGUGGGUUGACGGUAGCUAGAUAAGAAGCGCCGGCUAACUACGUG